UACGUAGGCAGCGAGCGUUGUUCGGAGUUACUGGGCGUAAAGCGUGCGUAGGCGGCGUCUUAAGUUUGUUGUGAAAUCUCCCGGCUUAACCGGGAGGGUGCGGCGAGUACUGAGAUGCUGGAGUGCGGGAGAGGUAAGCGGAAUUCCUGGUGUAGCGGUGAAAUGCGUAGAUAUCAGGAGGAACACCUGCGGUGUAGACGGCUUACUGGACCGUAACUGACGCUGAGGCACGAAAGCGUGGGUAGCAAACAGG
This 253-nucleotide ribosomal RNA is filed under the name uncultured bacterium. Its description in RNAcentral is "partial 16S ribosomal RNA". It matches the Rfam family "Bacterial small subunit ribosomal RNA", at positions 524 to 776 of the family's 1533-position model. The record is from RNAcentral.